UACGAAGGGGGCGAGCGUUGUUCGGAUUUACUGGGCGUAAAGGGCGCGUAGGCGGCGCGAGAAGUCGAGUGUGAAAUUUCGGAGCUUAACUCCGAAACUGCAUUCGAUACUGGCGUGCUUGAGGACUGGAGAGGAGACUGGAAUUUACGGUGUAGCAGUGAAAUGCGUAGAUAUCGUAAGGAAGACCAGUGGCGAAGGCGGGUCUCUGGACAGUUCCUGACACUGAGACACGAAGGCCAGGGGAGCAAACGGG
This 253-nucleotide ribosomal RNA is filed under the name uncultured bacterium. RNAcentral's name for it is "partial 16S ribosomal RNA". It matches the Rfam family "Bacterial small subunit ribosomal RNA", at positions 524 to 776 of the family's 1533-position model. The record is from RNAcentral.